This 443-nucleotide ribosomal RNA is filed under the name uncultured bacterium. Its description in RNAcentral is "partial 16S ribosomal RNA". It matches the Rfam family "Bacterial small subunit ribosomal RNA", at positions 338 to 795 of the family's 1533-position model. The record is from RNAcentral.
CCUACGGGAGGCAGCAGUGGGGAAUAUUGGGCAAUGGGCGCAAGCCUGACCCAGCAACGCCGCGUGAAGGAAGAAGGCUUUCGGGUUGUAAACUUCUUUUCUCAGGGACGAAGAAAGUGACGGUACCUGAGUAAUAAGCCACGGCUAAAUACGUGCCCGCAGCCGCGGUAAUCCGUAGGCGGCAAGCGUUAUCCGGAUUUACUGGGUGUAAAGGGCGCGUAGGCGGGAAAGCAAGUCAGAUGUGAAAACCAUGGGCUCAACCUGUGGACUGCAUUUGAAACUGUUUUUCUUGAGUACUGGAGAGGCAGACGGAAUUCCUAGUGUAGCGGUGAAAUGCGUAGAUAUUAGGAGGAACACCAGUGGCGAAGGCAGUCUGCUGAACAGCAACUGACGCUGAGGCGCGAAAGCGUGGGGAGCAAACAGGAUUAGAUACCCGUGUAGUC